GAUGAACGCUGGCGGCGUGCCUAAUACAUGCAAGUCGAGCGAAUGGAUUAAGAGCUUGCUCUUAUGAAGUUAGCGGCGGACGGGUGAGUAACACGUGGGUAACCUGCCCAUAAGACUGGGAUAACUCCGGGAAACCGGGGCUAAUACCGGAUAACAUUUUGAACCGCAUGGUUCGAAAUUGAAAGGCGGCUUCGGCUGUCACUUAUGGAUGGACCCGCGUCGCAUUAGCUAGUUGGUGAGGUAACGGCUUACCAAGGCAACGAUGCGUAGCCGAACUGAGAGGGUGAGCGGCCACACUGGGACUGAGACACGGCCCAGACUCCGACGGGAGGCAGCAGUAGGGAAUCUUCCGCAAUGGACGAAAGUCUGACGGAGCAACGCCGCGUGAGUGAUGAAGGCUUUCGGGUCGUAAAACUCUGUUGUUAGGGAAGAACAAGUGCUAGUUGAAUAAGCUGGCACCUUGACGGUACCUAACCAGAAAGCCACGGCUAACUACGUGCCAGCCGCCGCCGUAA
RNAcentral lists this ribosomal RNA (515 nucleotides) under uncultured bacterium. Its description in RNAcentral is "partial 16S ribosomal RNA". It matches the Rfam family "Bacterial small subunit ribosomal RNA", at positions 28 to 523 of the family's 1533-position model. The record is from RNAcentral.